UGAGUCUCUCCAUAUUUCUGGGCCAGUGGUUUCAUAAUGAAUCUUUGGAUUGGCAGGAUUGUCAAAUUGCCGAAGCAUAUGCCCAUUAGGUGUUUUACUUAGUAACUCGUCAGUCUUUUGAAGUAACCCAUUAAAGCCCUCUGCUGGAUCUGUAAGGUGAACCUCUGCUCCAAGAGCCCGUAGCACAAUUCUUCUCUCAAGACUCAUUGAAGCAGGCAUUGUGAGUAUAAGCUUGUAGCCCUUCACUG
This 248-nucleotide unclassified non-coding RNA is filed under the name Hevea brasiliensis (rubber tree). Lineage: Eukaryota; Viridiplantae; Streptophyta; Magnoliopsida; Malpighiales; Euphorbiaceae. The record is from RNAcentral.